RNAcentral lists this ribosomal RNA (434 nucleotides) under uncultured Mariprofundus sp. RNAcentral describes it as "partial 16S ribosomal RNA". It matches the Rfam family "Bacterial small subunit ribosomal RNA", at positions 341 to 792 of the family's 1533-position model. Lineage: Bacteria; Pseudomonadati; Pseudomonadota; Candidatius Mariprofundia; Mariprofundales; Mariprofundaceae. The record is from RNAcentral.
ACGGGAGGCAGCAGCUAAGAGUAUUGGGCAAUGGGGGAAACCCUGACCCAGCCAUGCCGCGUGAAUGAAGAAGGCCUUCGGGUUGUAAAGUUCUUUUAGUCGUGAAGAUGAUGACAGUAACGACAGAAAAAGCACCGGCUAACUUCGUGCCAGCAGCCGCGGUAAUACGAAGGGUGCAAGCGUUGUUCGGAUUUACUGGGCGUAAAGCGUCCGUAGGUGGUUUGUUAAGUCAGGGGUGAAAUCCCAGGGCCCAACCCUGGAACUGCCUUUGAUACUGGCAAGCUGGAGCGCGAUAGAGGAAGAUGGAACAUCUGGUGUAGGGGUGAAAUCCGUAGAUAUCAGAUAGAACACCAAUGGCGAAGGCAGUCUUCUGGAUCGAUACUGACACUGAGAGACGAAAGCGUGGGUAGCAAACAGGAUUAGAUACCCUGGUA